UCCCUCAUAAUAUUUGCAAAGUGGUAGCAUCCAACAACUUGAUUGGUCCAAUCAAGAUAAUUUUACACUGCCCAAUGGGUAUGGGUUAGGAUCCAUUCAUCGGGAUUCAUCAAAGUCAUUAAAAGAAAAUCCCUUUAUCAAGGUCAACUCAAAUUUAAAGCAAUAAGGCUUAAUACCCUUCAAUGGAUUUACAAAUUAAGUAGCAAGAGAAUGAUGAAGAAGAAGAAAGAGAAACUAAGAGGAUGAA
Molecule: long non-coding RNA, 247 nt
Filed under: Elaeis guineensis (African oil palm)
Lineage: Eukaryota; Viridiplantae; Streptophyta; Magnoliopsida; Arecales; Arecaceae
Description: long non-coding RNA (EGUI_LNC008845)
Source: RNAcentral